This 73-nucleotide transfer RNA is filed under the name Bos taurus (domestic cattle). It matches the Rfam family "tRNA". Rfam says of the family: Transfer RNA (tRNA) molecules are approximately 80 nucleotides in length. Their secondary structure includes four short double-helical elements and three loops (D, anti-codon, and T loops). Further hydrogen bonds mediate the characteristic L-shaped molecular structure. tRNAs have two regions of fundamental functional importance: the anti-codon, which is responsible for specific mRNA codon recognition, and the 3' end, to which the tRNAs corresponding amino acid is attached (by aminoacyl-tRNA synthetases). tRNAs cope with the degeneracy of the genetic code in two manners: having more than one tRNA (with a specific anti-codon) for a particular amino acid; and 'wobble' base-pairing, i.e. permitting non-standard base-pairing at the 3rd anti-codon position. RNAcentral also lists the same sequence under 4 other names. The record is from Rfam by way of RNAcentral. Lineage: Eukaryota; Metazoa; Chordata; Mammalia; Artiodactyla; Bovidae.
UCCCUGGUAGUCUAGUGGUUAAGACUCUGUGCUCCCAGUGCAGAGGGCAUGGGUUUGAUUCCAGGUCAGGGAA